AAUAAUUAUACAAAUUUAAUGAUAGACUUCAAUAUAGCGAGAGUACCGGUUUGACAGAAUAAAACAUAACCAAAGAUAAUAGAAAAUAAGGAUGCCGGCUAUGUUUAUGGUUCCCGUAUAUUCUAUGUUCUUUGUGAUAACGACAGUGCUGCCAUGUUUGUAUGAAAAAUU
Molecule: long non-coding RNA, 171 nt
Organism: Rhagoletis zephyria (snowberry fruit fly)
Lineage: Eukaryota; Metazoa; Arthropoda; Insecta; Diptera; Tephritidae
Source: RefSeq, a predicted model, not a curated record